RNAcentral lists this ribosomal RNA (888 nucleotides) under uncultured bacterium. RNAcentral describes it as "bacterial SSU rRNA". It matches the Rfam family "Bacterial small subunit ribosomal RNA", at positions 566 to 1454 of the family's 1533-position model. The record is from RNAcentral.
GGAGCGCAGGCGNUCAGGAAAGUCUGGAGUAAAAGGCUAUGGCUCAACCAUAGUGUGCUCUGGAAACUNUCUGACUUGAGUGCAGAAGGGGAGAGUGGAAUUCCAUGUGUAGCGGUGAAAUGCGUAGAUAUAUGGAGGAACACCAGUGGCGAAAGCGGCUCUCUGGUCUGUCACUGACGCUGAGGCUCGAAAGCGUGGGUAGCGAACAGGAUUAGAUACCCUGGUAGUNCACGCCGUAAACGAUGAGUGCUAGGUGUUAGGCCCUUUCCGGGGCUUAGUGCCGGAGCUAACGCAAUAAGCACUCCGCCUGGGGAGUACGACCGCAAGGUUGAAACUCAAAGGAAUUGACGGGGGCCCGCACAAGCGGUGGAGCAUGUGGUUUAAUUCGAAGCAACGCGAAGAACCUUACCAGGUCUUGACAUCCCGAUGCUAUUCUUAGAGAUAGGAAGUUACUUCGGUACAUCGGAGACAGGUGGUGCAUGGUUGUCGUCAGCUCGUGUCGUGAGAUGUUGGGUUAAGUCCCGCAACGAGCGCAACCCUUAUUGUUAGUUGCCAUCAUUAAGUUGGGCACUCUAGCGAGACUGCCGGUAAUAAACCGGAGGAAGGUGGGGAUGACGUCAAAUCAUCAUGCCCCUUAUGACCUGGGCUACACACGUGCUACAAUGGUCGGUACAACGAGUUGCGAGCCGGUGACGGCAAGCUAAUCUCUGAAAGCCGAUCUCAGUUCGGAUUGGAGGCUGCAACUCGCCUCCAUGAAGUCGGAAUCGCUAGUAAUCGCGGAUCAGCACGCCGCGGUGAAUACGUUCCCGGGCCUUGUACACACCGCCCGUCACACCACGAGAGUUUGUAACACCCGAAGUCGGUGAGGUAACCUUUUAGGGGCCAGCC